This is a non-coding RNA of Oncorhynchus mykiss (rainbow trout), 4089 nucleotides long. The record is from RefSeq and is a predicted model, not a curated record. Lineage: Eukaryota; Metazoa; Chordata; Actinopteri; Salmoniformes; Salmonidae.
UCUGCCGCGUCACGACAAAGCAAAAAGGAUGCUCAUGGUUUGUUAGCAUGGAUAUAAUAUAAACUGCGCCCCUGUGAGGAAUAAUUAUCUGGCAGGGCUUCACGACUGCUAAACAUGUGACCAUAGCGUGUCAAUUCGUGUUUUUUUCUGCACCGCACUUUUCAGACCUGACAGAAAUAGUGAAAAGAACAGUUGACUACCACCAUUCCAUACACACGGACCCAUUAUUGUUCACGCAACAGAACAUGGACAUCAAGGACCAAGGAGCUCAAAUGGAACCGCUGCUGCCAACGGUGUCAACUCCUGGACGCAGAAGUGUGAGAAAUGAUGAAGAGGCUGUGGUGGACAGAGGUGGAACCCGGUCCAUGCUGAAAACCAACUUUGAAAAGGAGGAACUCGAAGGUCACAGGACACUCUACAUCGGGGUACAUGUCCCCCUGGGAAGGAAGAGCCAUCGGAGGCAUCGGCAUCAUGGACAUAGACACAGGAAGAGGAGCAGGGAGCGGGACUCUGGAGUGGAGGAUGGAAGAGAGUCUCCCACAUACAACACGCCAUCCCAGAGAGUGCAGUUCCUCCUGGGCACAGAGGAUGACGACGAGGAGCACAUCCCCCAUGACCUCUUCACUGAGCUGGACGAGAUCUGCCUGAAAGACGGAGAGGAAGCAGAGUGGAGGGAAACCGCCAGGUGGCUGAAGUUUGAGGAGGAUGUGGAGGAUGGAGGGGAGCGCUGGAGUAAGCCCUACGUGGCCACGCUGUCCCUGCACAGCCUGUUCGAGCUGCGCAGCUGCAUCCUCAAUGGCGUCGUGCUGCUCGACAUGAGGGCCAACUCCGUGGAGGAGGUAGCAGACAUGGUGUUGGACCAGCAGGAGACCACAGGUCCACUGGGGGACGAGGUGAGGAGGAAGGUGAGAGAGACCCUCCUCAAAACGCACCAUCACCAGAACCAGAAGAAGUUGGCCAAUCGCAUCCCCAUUGUCCGCUCCUUCGCUGACAUUGGCAAGAAGCAGUCCGAGCCCCACUCCAUGGACAAGAACGGUCAGGUGAUUUCUCCCCAGACCUCUCUGCCCAUCCCCAAUGAUGGCAAAGCUGAAGUGAGCAGAGAGAACAGCGCUGUGGACUUCAGUAAGAUAGACCUCCAUUUCAUGAAGAAGAUUCCCCCGGGAGCGGAAGCGUCCAACGUGUUGGUGGGUGAGGCGGAGUUCCUAGACAAACCUGUGGUGGCGUUUGUACGUCUCUCACCUGCGGUCAUGCUCAACGGGCUGGCUGAGGUCCCCAUCGUCACCAGGUUCUUGUUCAUUCUGCUGGGGCCUCUUGGGAAAGGGCCACAGUACCAUGAGAUUGGCCGAUCCAUUGCAACUCUCAUGACAGACGAGGUUUUCCAUGAUGUCGCCUACAAAGCGAAGGACCGCACUGAUCUGAUUGCUGGAAUCGAUGAGUUCCUUGACCAAGUGACUGUCCUGCCACCGGGGGAGUGGGAUCCCUCUAUAAGAAUAGAGCCACCAAAAAACGUACCGUCUCAAGAGAAAAGGAGGAGUGCAGCGCAGUGCGGCACAGACCCAGGGGAUGAAGAGGAGGAGGACGAGGGACAUGGGGGCCCGGAGCUGCAGCGGACAGGACGAUUCUGUGGUGGUCUCCUGUUGGACAUCAAACGCAAGGCGCCGCACUACCUGUCUGACUACACAGACGCUGUAAGCCUGCAGUGCUUGGCCUCCUUCCUCUUCCUGUACUGUGCAUGCAUGUCGCCUGUCAUCACGUUCGGGGGCCUACUAGGAGAGGCAACAGAAGGACGCAUAAGUGCAAUCGAAUCACUUUUUGGCGCCUCAAUGACGGGAAUAGCCUAUUCCCUGUUUGCUGGCCAGCCACUCACCAUUUUGGGCAGCACAGGGCCUGUACUGGUGUUUGAGAAGAUCUUGUACAAAUUCUGCAAGGAGUAUGGAUUAUCCUACCUCUCACUGAGAACCUGUAUAGGGCUGUGGACAGCGUUCCUCUGCCUGGUCCUAGUGGCCACAGAUGCCAGCUCCCUGGUCUGUUACAUCACCCGCUUCACAGAGGAGGCCUUCGCCUCGCUCAUCUGCAUCAUCUUCAUCUACGAGGCCUUGGAGAAGCUCAUCCACCUGGGGGAACACUACCCCAUCAACAUGAACAACAACCUGGACAAACUCACACAGUACUCGUGUUCAUGUGUUGAACCUCCGGAUCCAAGCAAUGCCACCAUACAGUACUGGGAGCAGAACAACAUCACUGCUUCUGAGGUCUACUGGGAGGCACUCGAGGUUAAGGACUGCAUGGAGAAAAGAGGAGAGUUUGUGGGCAGUGCCUGUGGCCCUCAUGGACCCUAUAUUCCAGAUGUUCUCUUCUGGUCUGUGGUUCUCUUCUUCUCCACUGUCUUCAUGUCAGCUUUCCUAAAGGAGUUCAAGUUCAGCCGUUACUUCCCCACCAAGUUGAGAGCUGUCAUCAGUGACUUUGCUGUGUUCAUCACCAUCUUUACCAUGGUCCUGGUGGACUAUGCCUUAGGGGUCCCAUCUCCAAAACUAAAAGUCCCCAGUGUGUUCAAGCCGACCAGAGAUGACCGUGGUUGGUUGAUCAGCCCGUUAGGCGGCAACCCUUGGUGGACCACCAUCGUGACAGUGAUCCCUGCUCUGCUCUGCACCAUCCUCAUCUUCAUGGACCAGCAGAUCACCGCGGUCAUCAUCAACAGGAAGGAGCACAAACUAAAGAAAGGCUGCGGGUACCAUUUGGACUUGUUCGUGGUGGGUGUCAUGCUGGGGGUAUGUUCCAUCAUGGGUUUGCCCUGGUUCGUGGCUGCCACCGUUCUCUCCAUCUCCCACGUCAACAGUCUGAAGCUGGAGUCGGAGUGCUCGGCCCCCGGGGAACAACCCAAGUUCCUGGGCAUCCGUGAGCAGCGCUUCACUGGCCUCAUGAUCUUCCUACUCAUGGGCUGCUCGGUGUUCAUGACCUCUGUGCUCAAGUACAUUCCCAUGCCUGUGUUGUAUGGAGUAUUCCUGUACAUGGGAGCAUCUUCGCUCAGAGGAAUACAGUUAUUUGACCGUCUGAAGCUGUUUGGCAUGCCAGCCAAGCACCAGCCUGACUUCAUCUACCUGAGACACGUUCCCCUGCGGAAGGUCCAUCUCUUCACCAUCAUCCAGCUCAGCUGCCUGGUCAUGCUCUGGGUCAUCAAGACCUCCAAUUAUGCCAUCGUCUUCCCCAUGAUGGUGUUGGCGCUGGUGUUCAUUCGGAAAUUGAUGGAUUGCUUCUUCACCAAGAGAGAGAUGAGCUGGCUGGAUGAUCUAAUGCCAGAGAGUAAGAAGAAGAAACUGGAGGAUGCUGAAGAAGAGGAGGAGGAGCAAAGUAUUUUGGGAGAGGAAGAUGGAGUAGUGCAGGUGCCGUUAGAAGGAUAUCAAAAGAGUGAAUCCGCACUCAACAUCACUGAUGAAAUGUCCAGAGGCUCUUUUGGAAACACGUGGAAUGUCAACUCUGACAACUCUAAAAAAGAGCUAGACUCAAAAAGUUCCCUUAUAUCCUCAUAGAUGCUGAAUCCCCCAAAGUUCAUCAACACUGAGAGUGCACAGCUCUUAGGAACUGCCGGUGUUAGGCAAAGCUUAUCCAAGAACAGUGGUAGGAAAGAAAAGAAGAGAAGAAAGAUGCAGAAGGGCUGCUUCAACAGGAAGUCAAGUUUAUGACGUUUCUCCAUUCACUGUGUUUUAAGCAAAUCAAUAUUGUGUGCCACAGUUUACCAUUCCUUUAUGUUUUGUCUUGUAAAUCUUUGUGUGUUCAAAAGCUUAAAACAGUCUUUUUUUUAGUUGACGUGUCCAAAACUGCUUCUUUGUGAGGCAACCUAAGGACAUUUAUUUAUUGUAUGUAUUUUGUAUGUUUUUGUAUUUUUUCCAGUAUCAUAAUAUUACAGCUGUUUGAAGUUGAUAAAUUAUCCAACUAGAUAAACACUCCAUUUAAAAGUUUGUGCAAUACUGCAGUUAAAAGACUAUGAAAGCAAGUAUAUAUAUAUACAGUGGGGCAAAAAAGUAUUUAGUCAGCCACCAAUUGUGCAAGUUCUCCCACUUAAAAAGAUGAGAGAGGCCUGUAAUUUUCAUC